This is a long non-coding RNA of Lynx canadensis (Canada lynx), 2127 nucleotides long. RefSeq lists it as uncharacterized. The transcript has 5 exons. The record is from RefSeq and is a predicted model, not a curated record. Lineage: Eukaryota; Metazoa; Chordata; Mammalia; Carnivora; Felidae.
CUCAGAAAAUUCCUCUCAGCCAGAAAUGGAAAGGAUAGAGAGCACUUUCUAGGAGGUAGGAAUUUAUCUGCCAGUGUGUGAGAGUCAAAGGCGAGGAAAGUUCACCUUCUAACCAACUCUCGGUGCAGGAAGAGCCCUUCAGGAGUGCUGCAGUCUGAGACGUGACUGUUCAUCCCUGAGAAAAACUGAAGAGGCUAAAGUGGGAUCUGAUAUGUGUCGCCUUCUAACCAUAAAAUUAUGCUUGAAGCCACAUUCCUUGCUGAAAUGGAUUGCUCUUUUCCCCCUUCUUCUGUAAACUUUCAGGACUCUAAUACUGCUUGCUGCCAAGUGGAAAGAGACACCAAGCCUGCUUCAACUGACCUAGAAAGUAGAGAGGUGGGCGAAACUGCUGAGAAAGCAACAAAACACAGAAACAUGUUCUAUGUGUUUCUCUGAUUAGAGUUGAGAAGAACUCUCUAUCAAAUAGCCAGGAAUCAUCAGAGAGCAGGUUCUACAUUUCUUCAGUAACCACUUCUGUGUUAUUCCAAGAUGCUCUGAUGAGAAACUGUGCAUCAGAAGAAUAAUUUUUCCAAUUAGAGAAACAAGCAGAAAAUAGUUUCCUUUCCUACAGCACCACACCAAUGCACAUUCUAAUGGCCUUAUUCUAACCGCCACCUCCCACACCUGCUUCCUCUGGGUGGACAGCUCAUCUCCCUUUGCCUGAGACUUUCCAGUUGCAGCACUGACUGUCUUUAUCCCAGGAAAGGCCUCAGUGCCAGGUCCUGAGGUGGUUGGUCACCCUACAGACACGGGAUGGGGAUUUGGAGGAGAAAGAAGAAUGUGUCCUAUCUGGGAGGUUGCAGAAGACUUUCUUGCCAUGAGAGGAGACAGGAAAAGAAAAAGCAUGGCAAUGAGGUGAUGCUGGGCUAUUUGGGGGACCAGCAAGUAUGGCUCUAGAGAAGAAUCUGUGGGAAAAGAUAAAUUAAGAAGAUUAGACUGGGAGUACAUUAGGGAGAAGCUUAAAUGCCCAGAUACAGACAUGGAAAUUUAUCUCAUAGGAAGUAAGAAGCCAUCAAAUGAUUUCAAGCAAUGGAGUGAUGUAAUUUGAGUGAAACCUUAUCUAUUAAGCCAUCAAACGAUUAUUUUCCCUUUUAAUUAUUUCAGUCCUAUGUUACUUUCUCAUUCAUUAACCAAAAAUAUCUUAAUAUUUAACUUUAUAAUCACACAAAAGUCUCCAUUUUAGGGACCACGUUGCACCUUCUUGUCUCUUUUCAUUAUCUAGAGUAGUUUUAAACUAACAGGAAUGACAAAUUAAGCUUCUUAAUGAUUUUUAUGAAUUAAUAUUAUCGGAAUACUUACUGUCCAAUAUAUUGUGUAUUUUUAUUUGAAAAAGUGCUGUUGUUAGACACCCUUCAAAAAAGGUAACAUAAUGAAAGAUUUCUAAAGUGGUAAUACCACUUUAGUUAUUUUUUUUUCCUCCGUAGAUAAGCAGAUAUUUUUUCCCAGUGUAAAUAAAAUAAAUACUAAGGGUGGGAUAUUUCAAAAAGUUUAUAUUUGAUCUGCUCUUAAGCUUUUAGGGGUGAUAUUUGGUGACAUUUUAGAUUCUUCCUUACUAUGUCAGAUGGGACUUCAUUCAGAAAAUAAUCAAAACCACUUUCUGUCUAUAAAUCCCCAAGUGUGCUGAGGAAAAGUUAUCUUCAGUCUGUUGAAUCAUCAGUGAAUAAAGGCUAUUGUUUCUCUCUGAUUUUAGUUCUUUGCUGGUGCUGAAAUGAGAAUAGUCCUUGCUGGUUUUAUAUCAUCAGUACAUCUAUAACACACAUACAUGCACACACUCAAAAAUAAGUGAGUAUUUUUAUAUUCUUGCUACUUUUAGUCUCUUUUCUGUUCUUUGUUCAUUUACAUACAUAUUUUUCAGUUCAAUCUCCAGAAAUACACUCAUUUGUCAGCUGAAUUUGUCAGAUGACUAUUACUGAGGAACCAGUAUUUUCCAUUUGUAUUAUACUUUUCCUUGUAAUAAAUGAGACAGAAUAAGGUUAAAAAUAUAAUACUGCAAAAUGUACUCACAAGUUGACUAAGGACCCAGACCUGUAUCUGUGUACCUCAUUCUUCUGUGUAAAAACCCAUUAAUAAAUUUCUAUUUAAGUGAAG